AGGCUUGUCGCGCAGGUGGAUGGAGCGCACCCCUGAUAAGGGUGAGGUCGGUGGUUCAAGUCCACUCAGGCCUACCA
Molecule: transfer RNA, 77 nt
Filed under: Salmonella enterica subsp. enterica serovar London
Lineage: Bacteria; Pseudomonadati; Pseudomonadota; Gammaproteobacteria; Enterobacterales; Enterobacteriaceae
Description: tRNA-Ile
Rfam family: tRNA
About the family: Transfer RNA (tRNA) molecules are approximately 80 nucleotides in length.
Source: RNAcentral